Molecule: RNA transcript, 2972 nt
Organism: Vollenhovia emeryi
Lineage: Eukaryota; Metazoa; Arthropoda; Insecta; Hymenoptera; Formicidae
Gene: Men-b
Gene name: NADP-dependent malic enzyme
Exons: 13
Source: RefSeq, a predicted model, not a curated record
GCGGCCAGCGGCACCUCCGAGAACGCGCAGUCGCGCGCCGAUCCUGUCGGGUGGGAGGUGUGAUCAGCUGCGUGCACACGAGGAAGAGCGAGAUGUACGUCCUGCAGAGGUCUAUAUUAUCGGCCAGCAGCAGAAAUUGCGGGGGAUCAUGGACGCGGACGCUGCCACCUUCGCACGUCGCCGUAAGGGACGUUCCACAGAGGGACAUCCACGAGGUUUCGGGAGACGUGGUACCGAUAAAUAUGGUGAAGGGUAUCGGUCACCUCAGGGAUCCCCGGCUGAACAAGGGCUUGGCGUUCACCCUGAGAGAAAGAAUAGCCCUCGGCAUACACGGGCUGCAGCCGCCUCGAUUUAAGACGCAGGAGGAACAGCUAGCACUGUGCAAAGCUUCAGUAAUGAAAUACUCGGAGGACUUGAAUCGAUAUUUGUAUCUUGUGGAGCUACAGGAGAGGAACGAAAGAUUAUUCUUUCGCUUGUUGAGCGAAAACAUCGAGCAGAUGAUGCCGAUUGUCUAUACUCCUACCGUGGGUUUGGCCUGCCAAAAAUUUGGCGUGAUAUACCGUAGACCUCGCGGACUUUUCAUUACUAUAUACGAUAAGGGCCAUAUUUACGAGAUCUUGAAUAAUUGGCCGGAACAGGCGGUGCGGGCCAUCUGCGUGACGGAUGGCGAGCGCAUUUUAGGCCUCGGCGACCUCGGGGCGUGCGGCAUGGGUAUCCCAGUUGGAAAACUGGCGCUUUACACGGCUCUAGCUGGUAUCAAGCCGCAUCAGUGUCUCCCGAUCACUAUCGAUGUCGGCACUAACAACGAGCAGCUGAGAAACGAUCCUCACUACAUCGGUCUUAACAAGCCUAGGAGCCAAGGUGCCGAGUAUGACGUAUUAAUCGACGAGUUUAUGGCUGCCUGCGUGCAAAAGUACGGACAAAACGUUCUUAUUCAAUUCGAAGACUUCGGAAACCACAAUGCCUUCCGUUUCUUAGACAAGUACAGAAAUAAGUAUUGCACGUUCAACGACGACAUACAAGGUACGGCCGCGGUUGCGGUGGCUGGAAUCUUGGCGUCGCAAAGAAUAACUAAGAAAAGAAUGGGAGACAAUAAGUUCGUCUUCCUUGGCGCCGGAGAGGCAGCUAUUGGAAUAGCUGAUCUGUGUGUCAAAGCGAUGGAGGCUGACGGUUGCACGCAGCAGCAGGCGCGCGAUAAUAUUUGGAUGAUGGACAUUGACGGGUUGCUCGUAAAGAAUCGGCCCGAAGGUAAUUUGGAGGGCCACAAGGUCUGGUACGCGAAGGAUCACAAAGUGAUGAAGACGUUGAUCGAAGUCGUGAAAGAGAUCAAGCCCUCCGUCUUGAUAGGCGCUUCGGCGGCGACUGGGGCGUUUACUCCUGAGGUCUUAAAGGAAAUGGCAAAAAAUAACGAGAGGCCGUUGAUUUUCGCCUUGAGUAAUCCAACCAGCAAAGCUGAAUGUACGGCGCAGCAAGCGUAUGAUCAUACCGACGGUAGAUGCGUAUUCUCCUCGGGUUCGCCAUUCGGUGAAGUAAAAUACAAUGGAAAGACGUACAAGCCUGGACAGGGUAAUAACGCGUACAUCUUCCCCGGUAUUGCUCUAGGCGUAAUCGCGACCGGGGUGCAUCACAUCACCGAAGAUUUGUUCCUGAUCUCGGCACAGUGCGUCGCCGAUCACGUGAAAAAUGAGGAUCUCGAAAGGGGUAGUCUCUACCCGCCGUUAAAUAACAUUCGCGAGUGUUCUAUCGACAUCGCAAUUAAAAUAGCGGAAUACGCUUACGCGAAAGGUGGUUUGGCAAGCGAGUAUCCGGAGCCGAAAGAUAAGAGGCAAUUUAUCAUGAGUAAGAUGUACGAUUGCAACUAUGACAGUCCACUGCCAAAUCUGUACGAAUGGCCGGGCGAUUAUGCCAAGCCACGUAUCUUGCCAGAAAACCGUAGGACCGAAGAAUUAGAUAGAUAAAUGUCAAAAUUAGUUGUAAUAAGUAGUGUCGCAGCAAUUCUAUAGACAGCAUGAACGAAGACACAAUAGAAAUCCGUCACAAUUUAAAACACCUGUAGCGGAUUUCAUCGGCCGGGAUAGUUGCAGGCUAUCAUUACUAUCUUUAAUGAUAAAAAUAUCGAUGUCUCUUCAGCUUGUAAUCAAUGUCACUCACGGCAUAUGCAAACGGCAACACAACUCAUAAAUAGUUUUAAUCAUUAUGCCGCGUUGGCGAGUCUAACUAUGAGACGACCACUUUGACACAAAUUUCUUAAUUUAAUUUCUCGUAGUCAGAAAAUAAACUUAUUGUGUGGAUCACACAAGUAUUGUACUCUGUAGUAUUAAGAAACUACAAUUUAUCGAUUUUUUUCUUGCGUUUAAAUGUGCUUCGAAUAAAACACGUACUUAUUUAUGUAUUUAACGUAACGACGUAGCGAUGUUUGACACAACGCAGAAUCAUAUUUGAAUAGUAUACAACUAUUCACUAACUUCGACAUGGAUUGUCAAGUAUUCCAGUACAUUACAGAUUAUUUAUUUUUUUAAGAUAUUCACCGGAAAUAACCGCACAUGUUAUUUCUAAUAGCGCAAUACCAUUCUGUAUUACGUGGCAUGCACAGCGCGUGAUACAUUUACUUUGUAUUUCAAGGCCGUUAGAGUUAACGAAUAGCUGCUUUUUGUUACAAUUAUUUGAUUCGUGAUCCUUCGUAAAAAAACUAAUCCCCCCCCCCCUCUCUCUACCUCCUUCACGAGUACUUUUUAAAUAACAUAUAGCUAAUAAAAAUUUGCGAACAACAUGACAAAAUAAUUUUAAUCUUAGUUACUUCAUUGACGAUGGAGUGAUCAUACAAUCUGCAAUAAACCGUGGAAAAGUAUUGGAAAGAGCAACCGUUCUAUCGACACAAUAUUUAUAACAUGUUUGUACUUUGUGAUUCUUGUGUGCAUUCUCGUAUCCUGUAAAAGGAUGUUACGGAUCUAAUAAAUCUCUGACAAAAGGCA